GACGAACGCUGGCGGCGUGCUUAACACAUGCAAGUCGAACGGAAAGGCCCUGCUUUUGUGGGGUGCUCGAGUGGCGAACGGGUGAGUAACACGUGAGUAACCUGCCCUUGACUUUGGGAUAACUUCAGGAAACUGGGGCUAAUACCGGAUAGGAGCUCCUGCUGCAUGGUGGGGGUUGGAAAGUUUCGGCGGUUGGGGAUGGACUCGCGGCUUAUCAGCUUGUUGGUGGGGUAGUGGCUUACCAAGGCUUUGACGGGUAGCCGGCCUGAGAGGGUGACCGGCCACAUUGGGACUGAGGUACGGACCAGACUCCUACGGGCGGCAGCAGUGGGGAAUAUUGCACAAUGGGCGGAAGCCUGAUGCAGCAACGCCGCGUGCGGGAUGACGGCCUUCGGGUUGUAAACCGCUUUCGCCUGUGACGAAGCGUGAGUGACGGUAAUGGGUAAAGAAGCACCGGCUAACUACGUG
Molecule: ribosomal RNA, 468 nt
Filed under: uncultured bacterium
Lineage: Bacteria
Description: partial 16S ribosomal RNA
Rfam family: Bacterial small subunit ribosomal RNA
Source: RNAcentral